CGGGAUUAUUAAAGUAAUUAAUUUUGAAUAUCAAAUCAAGGUUCCAGUUUAGGAACAGAGUUUUAUUGGGAAUUAUCCCCAUAUGUAUAUGUUAGUGUUUUAAAAUUCAUCCUAACAAGGAUUUCUAUAGAGUGAGUGCUACUCUCAUCCGUACAAAGGCAUUCCAAAGGGGUAUUAUGUAAAACUUCAUAGAAGACAGAUUGCAUAAAAUAUAAGAGAAGUACAUGUUACACAAAUUAAGGGUUUAACCUUAAUCUCUAAUUUAAGUUUUAGCCUAGGUAAUUAAUUCAUGUUGUAUUGAUUCUUAUGUUUGUAUGAUUGUAGAGACCGUCCUGGAGUGUUUGUGCCGCCUGAUUUCUGGGACUACACACCAAUCUCUCUGGCUGACCAUGCAAUAAGUAUUUUGCAAUUACAUCUGUUUGGUCAUUAUCCAUGCAGGCCGAAGAAACUGAGAUACUUAUUUACGAGGACAUAAACUUUGCACGCAAGAACCUGGAAAGUCCUGAAGGUGCAGUGCUGUCUAAUGCCGCUGGUUCUGUAAUAACCCUUUCAACCAUUGGGGUGUUGCACAGAGCUUUGUGGUGAAAAUCCAGCAAACAAAAGAAGAACUAAGAACUAUGUGGAAGCUGACAUUGUCUUGUUGUCAGCCAUAUUCCUACCCUUAUCCAUUUUAUAGAACAAAAUGUCUGGUGUCUAAACUAAUUUCUUUAUACUCUGUGAAAGACUUAUUCUAUUUUUCUGAACUAUGCUGAACUAUUGAACUAUUUUUAUUUUUAUUUUUGUAGAGUUAGCCAGAGAGAGAGGAAGUGUUAGCUGACCCAGGGAUGGAUGUACUAUGUGUGUUUUUAUAUAUGUUGAGUGUGCCAAGGAUGGAUUCCCAUGUUUUGAGGAACUGCGUGAGGAUAUGACUGGUUUUGACUGGACUUUUGGAAUAGGGAAAUGGUUAAAAGAUAUAGGACGCAAGGUCCUGGUUGUGCAAUAAUAUAGUUGCUAUAAGCCCAAGUUCCAUUCUGUCUUAAACAUCCAUUUUCUAUAUAUCUGUCUGCAAAAGUAUUAAGUGGUUUUUGUUUUGUUUUUUUUUCUGCUGAGUUUCUGUUUCUUGUAGACCACAUGAUUGCUUGGGAAUGCCAUAAUGUGGAAAUUUCUCUGUCUUGGGAGAAUGUUAACCGAUGAUAUGAGCAAUAUAUAUUGCUCAAAGAGGGGUAACAAUUGUGAUUAUUGGGGCUCAGUUGGAUGGAACACCGGGACAGAUUGGGGCCACAGAAUGCAUUAGAUAAAAAGGAUAAGAAUGGGAAGUCCCUCUUGACUAG
Pelobates cultripes (western spadefoot toad) is the source of this 1310-nucleotide non-coding RNA. NCBI's taxonomy places the organism in Eukaryota, Metazoa, Chordata, Amphibia, Anura, Pelobatidae. The record is from the annotation of a GenBank genome assembly.